RNAcentral lists this long non-coding RNA (1025 nucleotides) under Callithrix jacchus (white-tufted-ear marmoset). RNAcentral describes it as "lncRNA (ENSCJAG00000084192.1)". Lineage: Eukaryota; Metazoa; Chordata; Mammalia; Primates; Cebidae. The record is from RNAcentral.
UUCAUUUUUCUAUCUUAUUUUUUUCCCUGAUCUUUCUCCUUUAAGUAAUAUAUAUUGUUUAGGAUAUUAAAAAUGAGCAGAAAACCAUUUUUUCCCCAGAUGUUCCUUAUCUAAGCAAGGCAUAGCUAGCUAGAGGUAAUUUCAAUCCAUUUUGGGGAAAAAGAUUGCCCUCCUUGGCAUGUUUUUAUCCAUAAUACCAUCAGGCUGUAGAUGAAUCCAGGACACAUUUUCUUCAUUGCAUUAUAUGCGAGGGAAACAGAGUCAAAGUCAUCUUAACUUUAUAAUGAAUAGCAUUUUGUCAGAGUGAAUAUCUGGCUCAUGGGAGGUUAAAGGAGAAACAGGACUAAAAUGCUUUAAUAGUCCAGAGACUUGCACAGUGAAAUGAAUUUAUUGCUUUUAGGAGAGUCCCUGGUGGACCGCACAUAAUGAAACUUGCUAUUGGAUAAGGCUGCCUGGGUGAGGAGACGGGCUAGCAGGCAGGAGCAGCAUACUGAAUACAGGGCUGUCAGGAAACCUAAGGUGACCCUCACACCUGCAGCAGAGGUGGCAGGCUUUUCCCCUGCCUGGGUGAACAGAUAUACAGAAUAAAUGUGCCAAAGUUCCUAAGAGGAGGGUGAAGAAGAGUCACAGGCCUAUCAGUGGUGCUGCUUGAGACCAUCUAUUUUCAGAUAUGAAAACAGACCAUGAAGAUAUGAGGUAGACAGGGCAUGAAUGGAAAACCAACAGCCUGGCUGGACUUGGAUUAGCUAGAAAAUGAAUCAUACCAGUUUGCUUUCUGAGGGGAUUAUUUUUUUUUAACAGCCCCAGAUGCCCAGGUGAGAUAUCUGGAUGCUAAAUAAUGAAGUAAAUUAAUUUGGCCUUUCUGACCUCCACCCAGAAGGCUACUCAUUGGUUGGAAGAAAAUAGAGAGGAGGACAAACAACUCUUUGGAAGAGGGGUUAGGUAUGAGAUCAUCCGUAGUACUAAAACCUGGAUACAAAUGCCUGUCACUGAAGAUGAAAAACAAAUGAUGAAUUCAACUAAUU